RNAcentral lists this ribosomal RNA (253 nucleotides) under uncultured bacterium. RNAcentral's name for it is "partial 16S ribosomal RNA". It matches the Rfam family "Bacterial small subunit ribosomal RNA", at positions 524 to 776 of the family's 1533-position model. The record is from RNAcentral.
UACGUAGGGGGCAAGCGUUGUCCGGAAUCAUUGGGCGUAAAGAGCGUGUAGGCGGCCCGGUAAGUCCGCUGUGAAAGUCCAGGGCUCAACCCUGGGAUGCCGGUGGAUACUGUCGGGCUCGAGUCCGGAAGAGGAGUGUGGAAUUCCCGGUGUAGCGGUGAAAUGCGCAGAUAUCGGGAAGAACACCCGUGGCGAAGGCGGCUCUCUGGGACGGUACUGACGCUGAGACGCGAAAGCUAGGGGAGCGAACAGG